This 253-nucleotide ribosomal RNA is filed under the name uncultured bacterium. RNAcentral's name for it is "partial 16S ribosomal RNA". It matches the Rfam family "Bacterial small subunit ribosomal RNA", at positions 524 to 776 of the family's 1533-position model. The record is from RNAcentral.
UACGAAGGGUGCAAGCGUUACUCGGAAUUACUGGGCGUAAAGCGUGCGUAGGUGGUCUGUUAAGUCUGAUGUGAAAGCCCUGGGCUCAACCUGGGAAUGGCAUUGGAUACUGGCAGGCUAGAGUGCGGUAGAGGAUGGCGGAAUUCCCGGUGUAGCAGUGAAAUGCGUAGAGAUCGGGAGGAACAUCUGUGGCGAAGGCGGCCAUCUGGACCAAUUCUGACACUGAGGAGCGAAAGCCAGGGGAGCAAACGGG